RNAcentral lists this ribosomal RNA (511 nucleotides) under Dacus humeralis. RNAcentral describes it as "partial 16S ribosomal RNA". The stretch from base 387 to 511 matches the Rfam family "Bacterial large subunit ribosomal RNA", at positions 2473 to 2597 of the family's 2925-position model. The record is from RNAcentral. Lineage: Eukaryota; Metazoa; Arthropoda; Insecta; Diptera; Tephritidae.
GUCUUUUUGAGUUAUUUUUAAAGUCUGACCUGCCCACUGAGUUUUUAAAUGGCCGCAGUAUUCUAACUGUGCAAAGGUAGCAUAAUCAUUAGUCUUUUAAUUGAAGGCUGGUAUGAACGGUUGGACGAGGUAUAAGCUGUUUCAUAUAAAUUUAUAAUAGAAUUUUAUAUUUUAGUCAAAAAGCUAAAAUGUAGUUAAAAGACGAGAAGACCCUAUAAAUCUUUAUAUUUUGUGUGAUUUAAAUUUUUUUGAUUUGUUUUAUUUUUAUUAUGUUAAAUAUUUUGUUGGGGUGAUGUUAAAAUUUAAUGAACUUUUAAUUGUUUUAAAUCAUUAAUUUAUGAAUUAUUGAUCCAUUAGUAGUGAUUAUAAGAUUAAGUUACUUUAGGGAUAACAGCGUAAUUUUUUUGGAGAGUUCUUAUCGAUAAAAAAGUUUGCGACCUCGAUGUUGGAUUAAGAUAUAAUUUUAGGUGUAGCCGCUUAAAUUUUAAGUCUGUUCGACUUUUAAAUUCUU